RNAcentral lists this ribosomal RNA (651 nucleotides) under uncultured Bacilli bacterium. RNAcentral's name for it is "bacterial SSU rRNA". It matches the Rfam family "Bacterial small subunit ribosomal RNA", at positions 84 to 721 of the family's 1533-position model. The record is from RNAcentral. Lineage: Bacteria; Bacillati; Bacillota; Bacilli.
GAAAAAGAGGAGUGGCGAACGGGUGAGUAACACGUGGGUAACCUGCCCAUCAGAAGGGGAUAACACUUGGAAACAGGUGCUAAUACCGUAUAACAAUCGAAACCGCAUGGUUUUGAUUUGAAAGGCGCUUUCGGGUGUCGCUGAUGGAUGGACCCGCGGUGCAUUAGCUAGUUGGUGAGGUAACGGCUCACCAAGGCCACGAUGCAUAGCUGACCUGAGAGGGUGAUCGGCCACAUUGGGACUGAGACACGGCCCAAACUCCUACGGGAGGCAGCAGUAGGGAAUCUUCGGCAAUGGACGAAAGUCUGACCGAGCAACGCCGCGUGAGUGAAGAAGGUUUUCGGAUCGUAAAACUCUGUUGUUAGAGAAGAACAAGGAUGAGAGUAACUGUUCAUCCCUUGACGGUAUCUAACCAGAAAGCCACGGCUAACUACGUGCCAGCAGCCGCGGUAAUACGUAGGUGGCAAGCGUUGUCCGGAUUUAUUGGGCGUAAAGCGAGCGCAGGCGGUUUCUUAAGUCUGAUGUGAAAGCCCCCGGCUCAACCGGGGAGGGUCAUUGGAAACUGGGAGACUUGAGUGCAGAAGAGGAGAGUGGAAUUCCAUGUGUAGCGGUGAAAUGCGUAGAUAUAUGGAGGAACACCAGUGGCGAAGG